Molecule: long non-coding RNA, 569 nt
Organism: Cucumis sativus (cucumber)
Lineage: Eukaryota; Viridiplantae; Streptophyta; Magnoliopsida; Cucurbitales; Cucurbitaceae
Exons: 2
Source: RefSeq, a predicted model, not a curated record
UUAUGAGGAGGGUAGUGGUGACCUAUAAUAACUGGAGUCCCAGAAUUCAAAACCAGAUACUGAAACAGGAGAAGGAACACAGCUCUGAAGAAAACCAUAUCAAGCUGAAGAAUAAUACUGCUGUGGAAAUGACCUAGUUAGAGAAUAGAGGCUACAGUAGGGACCUAGAACAAAUUUUAUUAGAAUGAAGGGACUCAAAUGCAAAUUUGGAGUAGAGUGAUUCAGUGGAUGGCGGCCUCCUUUCUUCCAGAAUCUCAUUUCCAUAUUUUCUUAAGUUCCAUCUUCAACCUUCAAAAGCACCUCACAUUCCACAGGCACACAGAAAGAACAGAGAUAGAGGGAGAUUGCAGUUUCUUGGUGUGAAUUGGGCAAUAGAAGGAAGAGUUUUGUUUUUUUCUUGUUUGCUUUUGGUUAUGGAUUAGAGGUCAACUCUUGUUGUUGAUACAUCUAACAAAGUAAUGGAAUGGAUUCUUUCCGUUACAAUGUUGAAAGGUUUAAAAUGUUGUCGUGGAUGGAAAUAUCGAAGUUUUAAUUUUAUCAAAAUAUCAAGAAAAGAUAUUUAAAAAAAA